UGGAGGGGUGUUAGCCCCGGGCCUGCCGCCUUUUCUGGUGGGGGCCAGGAGCUCUAGUCACAGCCCGGGGGGACUGUGUUGUGGUAGGCACAGCGUAGCUUUCCAGUCUGCCCUGUUCAUAUCUCUUCAGUUUCUCUCUCCUCCACCGCAAGCUUUUCCUUUGCCAUCACAUGACUUCAAGGCUGUCUAGUUUCCUGGGCUGUCAGCAUGGCUUUUUCUGUUCCCUUUGAUCUAGCAGUGAGGCUUGCCUUCCAGCCCUCCCUCCAGCUGCACAGUGCUUUUCCAUGUGUCAUGCUUGUGUAUAGCGCUUGCCUUCAGCAUAUUUACUAACAGCACUAAGGGGUCUCCUGUGGCAGUCUUCCCAAAGACACAUUUCUGCAGUCAUUUUUUAAAAUGAAAUACCGUUUAUCUAAAAGGAUGUGGCUAGUUGGAUAGGCCCAGUAUUGCUCUCAAGAGGAACACUUGGAACAUAUAAAGAUAAGAAAAACUGUACAAGAAGCCAUUUCUGACCUCAUUAUCACUUUGUGUUUGCAUGGGCAGUCAGAAGACACCUGCAACAUGAGGCAGUGGCAUUUACAUCCUGCUCCUGCCCUGCUGCCAGAACUGCUGGUGAAACACCCACCACCAAUACACGGCUGCCACAGAGCGUGCCCACCCGUAUGCUUCUGGUGGUGAUGGCUCUGCAUGGCUUCACCCAGCAGCUCUGCUGCUGAACUAUGAUGUGCGCUUCAUGGGGGCACCUGCUGCUGAAUGAGCUGUGGCAGGCAAUUCUAGAGGGAAGCUAGGAGCUGCUGCUGUGAAACAAGAGUGGAGCCUUGAAGGGAUGGAAGAUGUUCCACGGAGGAUCUGUAUUGUGCUACAUCAUCUGUUUGGACUACGGAUGUCCUGACCGGGGAUGGAUUUUAGGGGGAGAUGAUUGGAGAGUCCAGUAACAACACCCCAACACCACCACCGCCAAUAGAGGACUUGGGUCAUCCUGGAAUAGUGACAACUCCUAGUCUCUUUAUCCAUUUCACUAAGGCUCUCCUUGCCAAAUAGGCCUGUCCCUGAGUGCAGAUGCACAAAUCUCUGCAGAUUAAUACAAUUCAUCCAGUUUUGGCUUUGGAUAGGAGCUGAAACUCACCCUCCACUGAGUAGAGAAGCAAUAAUCA
Molecule: long non-coding RNA, 1151 nt
Organism: Gavialis gangeticus (Gharial)
Lineage: Eukaryota; Metazoa; Chordata; Crocodylia; Gavialidae
Exons: 2
Source: RefSeq, a predicted model, not a curated record